This 489-nucleotide ribosomal RNA is filed under the name uncultured bacterium. Its description in RNAcentral is "bacterial SSU rRNA". It matches the Rfam family "Bacterial small subunit ribosomal RNA", at positions 501 to 991 of the family's 1533-position model. The record is from RNAcentral.
CUACGUGCCAGCAGCCGCGGUAAUACGGAAGGUCCAGGCGUUAUCCGGAUUUAUUGGGUUUAAAGGGAGCGUAGGCCGCCCCUUAAGCGUGUUGUGAAAUGCGGGUGCUCAACAUCCGACUUGCAGCGCGAACUGGGGGGCUUGAGUGCGCCGAAAGUAGGCGGAAUUCGUGGUGUAGCGGUGAAAUGCUUAGAUAUCACGAAGAACUCCGAUUGCGAAGGCAGCUUACUGUAGCGCAACUGACGCUGAUGCUCGAAAGCGUGGGUAUCGAACAGGAUUAGAUACCCUGGUAGUCCGCACGGUAAACGAUGAAUACUCGCAGUUCGGCCUUUAUGGUCGAGUUGUCCAGCGAAAGCGUUAAGUUUUCCACCUGGGGAGUACGCCGGCAACGGUGAAACUCAAAGGAAUUGACAGGGGCCCGCACAAGCGGAGGAACAUGUGGUUUAAUUCGAAGCAACGCGAAGAACCUUACCAAGUCUUGACAUACUG